GGGUUGUGAGGUUAAGCGACUAAGCGUACACGGUGGAUGCCCUGGCAGUCAGAGGCGAUGAAGGACGUGCUAAUCUGCGAUAAGCGUCGGUAAGGUGAUAUGAACCGUUAUAACCGGCGAUUUCCGAAUGGGGAAACCCAGUGUGUUUCGACACACUAUCAUUAACUGAAUCCAUAGGUUAAUGAGGCGAACCGGGGGAACUGAAACAUCUAAGUACCCCGAGGAAAAGAAAUCAACCGAGAUUCCCCCAGUAGCGGCGAGCGAACGGGGAGGAGCCCAGAGCCUGAAUCAGUGUGUGUGUUAGUGGAAGCGUCUGGAAAGGCGCGCGAUACAGGGUGACAGCCCCGUACACAAAAAUGCACAUGCUGUGAGCUCGAUGAGUAGGGCGGGACACGUGGUAUCCUGUCUGAAUAUGGGGGGACCAUCCUCCAAGGCUAAAUACUCCUGACUGACCGAUAGUGAACCAGUACCGUGAGGGAAAGGCGAAAAGAACCCCGGCGAGGGGAGUGAAAAAGAACCUGAAACCGUGUACGUACAAGCAGUGGGAGCACAGAGCAAUCUGUGUGACUGCGUACCUUUUGUAUAAUGGGUCAGCGACUUAUAUUCUGUAGCAAGGUUAACCGAAUAGGGGAGCCGAAGGGAAACCGAGUCUUAACUGGGCGUUAAGUUGCAGGGUAUAGACCCGAAACCCGGUGAUCUAGCCAUGGGCAGGUUGAAGGUUGGGUAACACUAACUGGAGGACCGAACCGACUAAUGUUGAAAAAUUAGCGGAUGACUUGUGGCUGGGGGUGAAAGGCCAAUCAAACCGGGAGAUAGCUGGUUCUCCCCGAAAGCUAUUUAGGUAGCGCCUCGUGAAUUCAUCUCCGGGGGUAGAGCACUGUUUCGGCAAGGGGGUCAUCCCGACUUACCAACCCGAUGCAAACUGCGAAUACCGGAGAAUGUUAUCACGGGAGACACACGGCGGGUGCUAACGUCCGUCGUGAAGAGGGAAACAACCCAGACCGCCAGCUAAGGUCCCAAAGUCAUGGUUAAGUGGGAAACGAUGUGGGAAGGCCCAGACAGCCAGGAUGUUGGCUUAGAAGCAGCCAUCAUUUAAAGAAAGCGUAAUAGCUCACUGGUCGAGUCGGCCUGCGCGGAAGAUGUAACGGGGCUAAACCAUGCACCGAAGCUGCGGCAGCGACACUGUGUGUUGUUGGGUAGGGGAGCGUUCUGUAAGCCUGUGAAGGUGUGCUGUGAGGCAUGCUGGAGGUAUCAGAAGUGCGAAUGCUGACAUAAGUAACGAUAAAGCGGGUGAAAAGCCCGCUCGCCGGAAGACCAAGGGUUCCUGUCCAACGUUAAUCGGGGCAGGGUGAGUCGACCCCUAAGGCGAGGCCGAAAGGCGUAGUCGAUGGGAAACAGGUUAAUAUUCCUGUACUUGGUGUUACUGCGAAGGGGGGACGGAGAAGGCUAUGUUGGCCGGGCGACGGUUGUCCCGGUUUAAGCGUGUAGGCUGGUUUUCCAGGCAAAUCCGGAAAAUCAAGGCUGAGGCGUGAUGACGAGGCACUACGGUGCUGAAGCAACAAAUGCCCUGCUUCCAGGAAAAGCCUCUAAGCAUCAGGUAACAUCAAAUCGUACCCCAAACCGACACAGGUGGUCAGGUAGAGAAUACCAAGGCGCUUGAGAGAACUCGGGUGAAGGAACUAGGCAAAAUGGUGCCGUAACUUCGGGAGAAGGCACGCUGAUAUGUAGGUGAAGUCCCUCGCGGAUGGAGCUGAAAUCAGUCGAAGAUAUCAGCUGGCUGCAACUGUUUAUUAAAAACACAGCACUGUGCAAACACGAAAGUGGACGUAUACGGUGUGACGCCUGCCCGGUGCCGGAAGGUUAAUUGAUGGGGUCAGCGCAAGCGAAGCUCUUGAUCGAAGCCCCGGUAAACGGCGGCCGUAACUAUAACGGUCCUAAGGUAGCGAAAUUCCUUGUCGGGUAAGUUCCGACCUGCACGAAUGGCGUAAUGAUGGCCAGGCUGUCUCCACCCGAGACUCAGUGAAAUUGAACUCGCUGUGAAGAUGCAGUGUACCCGCGGCAAGACGGAAAGACCCCGUGAACCUUUACUAUAGCUUGACACUGAACAUUGAGCCUUGAUGUGUAGGAUAGGUGGGAGGCUUUGAAGUGUGGACGCCAGUCUGCAUGGAGCCGACCUUGAAAUACCACCCUUUAAUGUUUGAUGUUCUAACGUGGACCCGUGAUCCGGGUUGCGGACAGUGUCUGGUGGGUAGUUUGACUGGGGCGGUCUCCUCCUAAAGAGUAACGGAGGAGCACGAAGGUUGGCUAAUCCUGGUCGGACAUCAGGAGGUUAGUGCAAUGGCAUAAGCCAGCUUGACUGCGAGCGUGACGGCGCGAGCAGGUGCGAAAGCAGGUCAUAGUGAUCCGGUGGUUCUGAAUGGAAGGGCCAUCGCUCAACGGAUAAAAGGUACUCCGGGGAUAACAGGCUGAUACCGCCCAAGAGUUCAUAUCGACGGCGGUGUUUGGCACCUCGAUGUCGGCUCAUCACAUCCUGGGGCUGAAGUAGGUCCCAAGGGUAUGGCUGUUCGCCAUUUAAAGUGGUACGCGAGCUGGGUUUAGAACGUCGUGAGACAGUUCGGUCCCUAUCUGCCGUGGGCGCUGGAGAACUGAGGGGGGCUGCUCCUAGUACGAGAGGACCGGAGUGGACGCAUCACUGGUGUUCGGGUUGUCAUGCCAAUGGCACUGCCCGGUAGCUAAAUGCGGAAGAGAUAAGUGCUGAAAGCAUCUAAGCACGAAACUUGCCCCGAGAUGAGUUCUCCCUGACCCUUUAAGGGUCCUGAAGGAACGUUGAAGACGACGACGUUGAUAGGCCGGGUGUGUAAGCGCAGCGAUGCGUUGAGCUAACCGGUACUAAUGAACCGUGAGGCUUAACCUUACAACGCCGAAGGUGUUU
RNAcentral lists this ribosomal RNA (2932 nucleotides) under Escherichia coli O55:H7. RNAcentral describes it as "23S ribosomal RNA". It matches the Rfam family "Bacterial large subunit ribosomal RNA". Lineage: Bacteria; Pseudomonadati; Pseudomonadota; Gammaproteobacteria; Enterobacterales; Enterobacteriaceae. The record is from RNAcentral.